GACACAGACAGGGGCAGAGCAGCAACGGACGUUCUCUUUUUACAAAGAUGAGUUUGCAACCUUCAUCCGAGACACUUGAAAUGGAACAAAUCAUCACAAUUGAAGAUCCAUGUAGUGACCCAUUGUUUUGUAAACCAAAACCAGUAAGUGUAUUGACAAAUAAUUUGCCUUCUGAAAUAGAUUGCCGAAACCAUUCRUUGAUCGCUUCAUAGAUUGCAUGCGCYGAAAUUGAAAGGAUUGAUGGG
Exaiptasia diaphana is the source of this 245-nucleotide long non-coding RNA. RefSeq lists it as uncharacterized. The transcript is spliced from 4 exons. The record is from RefSeq and is a predicted model, not a curated record. NCBI's taxonomy places the organism in Eukaryota, Metazoa, Cnidaria, Anthozoa, Actiniaria, Aiptasiidae.